CCUACGGGAGGCAGCAGUAGGGAAUCUUGCGCAAUGGGCGAAAGCCUGACGCAGCCAUGCCGCGUGAAUGAUGAAGGUCUUAGGAUUGUAAAAUUCUUUCACCGGGGACGAUAAUGACGGUACCCGGAGAAGAAGCCCCGGCUAACUUCGUGCCAGCAGCCGCGGUAAUACGAAGGGGGCUAGCGUUGCUCGGAAUUACUGGGCGUAAAGGGCGCGUAGGCGGAUAGUUUAGUCAGAGGUAAAAGCCCAGGGCUCAACCUUGGAACUGCCUUUGAUACUGGCUAUCUUGAGUACGGGAGAGGUGUGUGGAACUCCGAGUGUAGAGGUGAAAUUCGUAGAUAUUCGGAAGAACACCAGUGGCGAAGGCGACACACUGGCCCGUUACUGACGCUGAGGCGCGAAAGCGUGGGGAGCAAACAGGAUUAGAUACCCUGGUAGUCCACGCCGUAAACGAUGAGUGCUAGUUGUCGGCAUGCAUGCAUGUCGGUGACGCAGCUAACGCAUUAAGCACUCCGCCUGGGGAGUACGGUCGCAAGAUUAAAAACUCAAAAUGAAAUUGACGG
RNAcentral lists this ribosomal RNA (563 nucleotides) under uncultured bacterium. RNAcentral describes it as "bacterial SSU rRNA". It matches the Rfam family "Bacterial small subunit ribosomal RNA", at positions 338 to 916 of the family's 1533-position model. The record is from RNAcentral.